GAUGAACGCUGGCGGCGUGCCUAAUACAUGCAAGUCGAGCGAACAGACGAGGAGCUUACUCCUCUGACGUUAGCGGCGGACGGGUGAGUAACACGUGGAUAACCUACCUAUAAGACUGGGAUAACUUCGGGAAACCGGAGCUAAUACCGGAUAACAUGUUGAACCGCAUGGUUCAACAGUGAAAGACGGUCUUGCUGUCACUUAUAGAUGGAUCCGCGCCGCAUUAGCUAGUUGGUAAGGUAACGGCUUACCAAGGCAACGAUGCGUAGCCGACCUAAGAGGGUGAUCGGCCACACUGGAACUGAGACACGGUCCAGACUCCUACGGGAGGCAGCAGUAGGGAAUCUUCCGCGAUGGGCGAAAGCCUGACGGAGCAACGCCGCGUGAGUGAAGAAGGUCUUCGGAUCGUAAAACUCUGUUAUUAGGGAAGAACAAAAGUGUAAGUAACUAUGCACGUCUUGACGGUACCUAAUCAGAAAGCCACGGCUAACUACGUGCCAGCCGCCGCCGUAA
RNAcentral lists this ribosomal RNA (513 nucleotides) under uncultured bacterium. RNAcentral describes it as "partial 16S ribosomal RNA". It matches the Rfam family "Bacterial small subunit ribosomal RNA", at positions 28 to 523 of the family's 1533-position model. The record is from RNAcentral.